CUGGUCUGAGAGGAUGAUCAGUCACACUGGAACUGAGACACGGUCCAGACUCCUACUUGGAGGCAGCAGUGGGGAAUAUUGGACAAUGGGCGAAAGCCUGAUCCAGSCAUGCCGCGUGUGUGAAGAAGGUCUUCGGAUUGUAAAGCACUUUAAGUUGGGAGGAAGGGCAGUUACCUAAUACGUAAUUGUUUUGACGUUACCGACAGAAUAAGCACCGGCUAACUCUGUGYCAGCAGCCGCGGUAAUACAGAGGGUGCAAGCGUUAAUCGGAAUUACUGGGCGUAAAGCGCAGCGUAGGUGGUUUGUUAAGUUGAAUGUGAAAUCCCCGGGCUCAWCCUGGGAACUGCAUCCAAAACUGGCAAGCUAGAGUAUGGUAGAGGGUGGUGGAAUUUCCUGUGUAGCGGUGAAAU
Molecule: ribosomal RNA, 410 nt
Filed under: Pseudomonas sp. Z68
Lineage: Bacteria; Pseudomonadati; Pseudomonadota; Gammaproteobacteria; Pseudomonadales; Pseudomonadaceae
Description: bacterial SSU rRNA
Rfam family: Bacterial small subunit ribosomal RNA
Source: RNAcentral